GAGAGAGAGAGAGAAAUACGAGGAUGCAAAGAUACGCAGAGCGUCUUCAGUGCAGCCGAAAACGUGAAUAGUAGGAGGAAUGGAGAAAGACUGAUUUAUCUUUCGUUCUCGUUCAUAGUUUAUUUUGAAACGUCAGUGUCGGUGGUUAUACGCGCACGUUUCACCCUCUCUUCGAUUUCACGUCGUGAAAUAGAAGCGCCGGGUUUGUUGGUGGGGUCAACGCACCGUAUACGAUCGAUCGUGAUUGGUCGUUCGCGGUGACGUUAACCAAUCGGGUUGCGCCCUUCCUCCUUAGUCGAAAGUUAGCUGCACGAGUGAGCCAGUCGUUGCUGCAAGCUUCGAAGGUGCGGUCGUUGUGUCUGUGUCGUUGCCACUCGUGCUGUGUUUUUGCGAGUGUGUUUCUCUUUUCCCCCCUUUUACUCGUUUGUUUUUUUUUCUUCUCCUUCUUCUCUCUUCUCGUUCAUACGUUUAUACGACACAUCGCGACGACGAUAAAGAAUUAUCAACGAAAUAUGUAAAGAACGUUCACGUGUCGACGAUAUUUCAUAUUUGUGCAUCUCGUGCCGGUGACAGAGACGAUAAUUAUCUUUCCUGUGGAGAAGUCAGGACACGAUUCAGGACGACAGAUCUUCCGAAGAUUUUCUCACGGGAAAACGGGCGCUACGAUCAUCGAAUUGGCCAGGGAGAAAUUUCAUACUCCCGUUUAAGAAGAAUCGUUAUAAUUUAACCCCAGUGUUUUACUCGAAGAAGAGAAAUGUAACCGGUCCGUGUGUUAUCAUUGAGAGAGAGAGAGAGAGAGAG
Long non-coding RNA from Vespula pensylvanica (western yellowjacket), 801 nucleotides. RefSeq lists it as uncharacterized. The record is from RefSeq and is a predicted model, not a curated record. NCBI's taxonomy places the organism in Eukaryota, Metazoa, Arthropoda, Insecta, Hymenoptera, Vespidae. The transcript is spliced from 2 exons.